UGUACAGUAACUAACAAAUAUAUUUUGACAAGCCACGUGACAGUUAACUCGGAAGCUGGUUCACUGUUUACGAUAUACUUAUUUUGGUAAAAUACAAUAUUGCAGCAAUCAGUAUCCAAGAUGGAAGUCAAAACAAGAAAAUUCUCUUUUCAACAUCUCAAUUCAAAGAAAUUUUCUUCAAUAGAGAGUAAAGAAAGUCAAGAAUCCUUUCUUAAAUGGU
Molecule: long non-coding RNA, 220 nt
Filed under: Mytilus galloprovincialis (Mediterranean mussel)
Lineage: Eukaryota; Metazoa; Mollusca; Bivalvia; Mytilida; Mytilidae
Source: RNAcentral